RNAcentral lists this small RNA (28 nucleotides) under Bombyx mori (domestic silkworm). RNAcentral describes it as "ovarian small RNA-35859". Lineage: Eukaryota; Metazoa; Arthropoda; Insecta; Lepidoptera; Bombycidae. The record is from RNAcentral.
UGUCUUGUAAAUGGCGAGUUUGGUCCUG